RNAcentral lists this ribosomal RNA (508 nucleotides) under uncultured bacterium. Its description in RNAcentral is "partial 16S ribosomal RNA". It matches the Rfam family "Bacterial small subunit ribosomal RNA", at positions 28 to 523 of the family's 1533-position model. The record is from RNAcentral.
GAUGAACGCUAGCUACAGGCUUAACACAUGCAAGUCGAGGGGAAACGAUAGAGAAAGCUUGCUUUUUCUAGGCGUCGACCGGCGCACGGGUGAGUAACGCGUAUCCAACCUGCCCAUCACUUGGGGAUAACCUUGCGAAAGUAAGACUAAUACCCAAUGACGUCCAUAGAAGACAUCUGAAAUGGAUUAAAGAUUUAUCGGUGAUGGAUGGGGAUGCGUCUGAUUAGCUUGUUGGCGGGGUAACGGCCCACCAAGGCGACGAUCAGUAGGGGUUCUACGAGGACGGUCCCCCACAUGGGAACUGAGACACGGUCCAAACUCCUACGGGAGGCAGCAGUGAGGAAUAUUGGUCAAUGGACGAGAGUCUGAACCAGCCAAGUAGCGUGCAGGAUGACGGCCCUAUGGGUUGUAAACUGCUUUUAUAAGGGAAUAAAGUGGGAGUCGUGACUCCUUUUGCAUGUACCUUAUGAAUAAGGACCGGCUAAUUCCGUGCCAGCAGCCGCGGUAA